This is a long non-coding RNA of Mytilus californianus (California mussel), 1793 nucleotides long. RefSeq lists it as uncharacterized. The transcript has 3 exons. NCBI's taxonomy places the organism in Eukaryota, Metazoa, Mollusca, Bivalvia, Mytilida, Mytilidae. The record is from RefSeq and is a predicted model, not a curated record.
UUGUCUGAAACCAGGGAGUCCAUCUUUUAUGCUCUUCCAUUGACUUAUCUCCCUUGGGUAAGAUCUCAAACAUGUCAGCUCCCAGUGAUGGUUUGGCAGACAAAUGUUUACAGUGAAGUUUGUGACUUUAAUAAUCUAGGAUGAGCAUGUGGGCUAUCCCAGCCUUAUACAUCUACAUAUUACAAACUAUUUAAGAUAUCUGAAUGCACUAAAGACCAAAAUAGCAUUUCCAAAAAAAAUAAUUACUGCCAAGAAAUUUGACAAUCAUGACAAUAAUUUAGUGAAUAAACAUGAUAAAUAUUGAUUGGAAAAAUAAGUCCAUGAACAGCAAAAAGUGUUUUCAACGAGCAAAACAAAAGUAUUCUAAACCAUUCUUCGUAAAAAAAAAGUGAGCAAGUGGAACCACCUUGCUCGCACCAAAAUUGAGAUUGAGAGUGUCAAAACUGCUCUGGCGCACCAUCAAUAAAUCAACGACACUCUCUCUACCGUGGUAUUGAAACCAGCAUUGGUAACCAAACAUAUUCAUACAGAUACAGACUACCAGUCAUCUACAUUUAGGAAGUCUAAAUAAUACUGAAAACUAUGGUGUAGAAUUUCCAACAGGACUCCUUAUUUUAUAUAAGACAAGGAGUGGUUUAUUUUCCCAUGGUUGUUACAUCAUCUUGUCUUUGAAUAUGCUCGAAGUACAGGGACUUUUAUGGAAUUCAUUGACAUGAUAGUCAAGCAAGAUGUCAACAUCUCCUCCAACCCUCUUCCAGCAAAGCCAAAGCUGACCAAGGAUCUUCACCCUUUCAAAACAGGCUGUAUACAGGACGAGUUAUUCCAGUAGGAACAGGGCUAUAUAUAUGCAAGCAAUGCUCAAUUAAGAUGAAUUUUUGUAAAAGUGACAAUAGCCAGGUCAAACUAAGUACAUGUAUAGAAGAAGAUAUUGAUCUAGACUCGCAGCUAACCUUUCUGUCAGUGGCAACAACAACUGAACUUUCACAGCAGUCAACAUCAGAUUGGGAGACUGAUAAUGCUUCUAACAGAAACAAUUUCAACCAACCAAACAAGCAACAGAAACUUUCUAACUUUAAAACAUCAGUUAAAUCUUCCAUGGGAUGAUGUCUCAAAAAAUAACAGUUCAUCAUUUAUGGAGAUUUUAAUGUUAUGGUUUUUCUUUUACAAGAAAGUUAAUGUACACUUGUUUUAUAGUAAAACCUAUAGCCGUUCAAGUAUAAAAAAACACAUUCAACAUUAUUGAAAUUUGAAGAUUCAUAUGACUUAUUUUAAUUCUGUUAUCUCCAAGGAUGUGAUGUAAAGCAUUAUAGGUACAGAAAUCUUAACAGCUAUCCAAUUUCAUUCAAAAUUCUUUAUAAAUUUUGUACUGGUAUAUAUAGACUAAGUAAUUUGUUUUUCGUCUAGUUAUGGGAUUUUUUUUUUAGAAGCAUUUAUGAUUUUCAUGUUUGUAUUGACCACAUUGCAGCAACAUAGAUAUAGGUACCUGGCAAAUCUUGCCUUGUUAGCAUACUAGGCUCAAAGGGUCAUAGAAAAAUUUCCAUCACUAAGUGUCUGUUAAAAUCAUCUGUUUACAGUUUUCACUUUUAAACCAUCAUCUUAAUAACUUUAGAAGAAGUGUCAUACAUAUAUAUAUGUAUACAAAAUUUAAAAGCUUUUCAAUAUAUAUAUAUAUAUAUAUAUAUAAACAAGUCUAAAUUGAAAACAACGUUCAAACCUAUGAUUGCGUUGGAUAAAAACCGCAAUUUUUAUACGUGUGCAUGCAAAACAAAUUUCUUUGUAGAGGGGUCUAAAUA